Cyprinodon variegatus (sheepshead minnow) is the source of this 344-nucleotide long non-coding RNA. RefSeq lists it as uncharacterized. Lineage: Eukaryota; Metazoa; Chordata; Actinopteri; Cyprinodontiformes; Cyprinodontidae. The transcript is spliced from 3 exons. The record is from RefSeq and is a predicted model, not a curated record.
UCCUGGACUUUUUCGCCGAGAGACAAAAGGGAAAAGACGUUUUACACCGUAUACCCGACCAAAAAAAAGUUUUCUGGUGAACUUUUUUCUCCUUGAGAAACAACGUUCCAAAACCCCCAAAGGAGACGAAGAACUCCAGCUUAUAUUGGCUGGUCUGGGUAAACGUUCUCUCUCAGUAACAGAGAGUUUAACACAUACAGAGCUGACAGAUUUGUUGCUUAAUGCAUUUCCAAGGCUUGCAAGCAUCAAUGGUGGCUGGUUGCUAUACAAGUCUACAGGUGGUGGUGGGCAGCGCAGAUUAGUUGUUAUUCCUCCUGAUUCUGAUGGUUAUAGUGGGCACCAAC